RNAcentral lists this long non-coding RNA (1140 nucleotides) under Junco hyemalis (dark-eyed junco). Its description in RNAcentral is "lncRNA (ENSJHYG00000001252.1)". The record is from RNAcentral. Lineage: Eukaryota; Metazoa; Chordata; Aves; Passeriformes; Passerellidae.
GACCAGCCCUCCAGUGCUGGGAAUUCUGCUUCUUCUGAAACAGUCAGAGAGGCUGUUUAUAAUCAUAAGGGUUAUUAUAAUCAUAAGGAUCUCCAAGUUUGGAUAUCAGAUGCAGGAUAAAUUAUUAAAUUGUCCUUGUGAGCUAAAACUGUAGGGAAACCAGGCUGUAAAGCUACCAGAUCCAAUGGGUGAUAGGAAGCAGCUUUUUCUGUUCUUUCUUUUUUUUUACAAGCUGUAUGUACUGCUCCUGGCCUUUGAUCUCACUACAGAUUCUGACCCAUUUGAAAUGUUCAUUAUAUUGCAGCUCUAUGGCAGAGAUGGGAGCAGCAGCACCUGAACUCAGAUCCUUCUGUGCUUCACAAUUUGUGCACCCAUUCUGCAUUUCUCCAAGUGCAGAAAGUUGGCAACUUUUAUGGCUCUUCAUGUCCUGUAAAGUAAUAAAGUACAGCCAGGUGGAAAAUGUGACCAGAGAGGCAGAAUAUGUGGAAGCAGAGCGCAAGGUCUGCAGAGCAGAAGGGAUGGCAGCAGCCUUUCUGUCCCAGGGAUGUGAGGGUGAGUCAGCUCCAACACUUCUGGGUCUGGGCUGGGGCAAACUGCACACACUCUGUGUGCUGGGCUCUCUUAUUGAGGCAGAGAAAGCCAGGAGGAAAGUUUUGUGUUGAUAGAGAAACGCUCCACGGUAUUUGCCAAAUCUAACAGGAACAAGCGACUGAGAAACACUGAUAUAUUCAGUCAAAUUGAUGCUGCAAGCAGGAUGAAAGGGUCUAAAUGGAGACAGAAAUUUUCUGAGGGGUAAUACCAGGUGUGGGAAUGACCUCUAGGGUUUGUGCCUCCCUGCCACUGUCCUUUCUGGCAGUCCACUUAUCCCCUUCUCUCUUUUUGUUCCUGAAAUUGUGUGACCUCCUGUGCAUCCUCACGUGCUCUGACCAAGUCCUGUCCCCUCAUGUGCACAGUAAGCUCCUGCACUUCUUCUGACAAUGAGGGCAGUCUGAAUUGUUCAGUUUUAUUCCUGCUAGGGAUUUUUUUUGUCUGUAUGCUUCUUGGGAAGUCAAUGCUCAAAGGAGCAACCUGUCUAUCUCUGGCUUACAUGCAGUUCCAGCUGAACAGCACUAGGCUUCCAGCAGAAGGAUUGAAAGAACA